RNAcentral lists this transfer RNA (76 nucleotides) under Synergistaceae bacterium. RNAcentral describes it as "tRNA-Lys". It matches the Rfam family "tRNA". Rfam says of the family: Transfer RNA (tRNA) molecules are approximately 80 nucleotides in length. Their secondary structure includes four short double-helical elements and three loops (D, anti-codon, and T loops). The record is from RNAcentral. Lineage: Bacteria; Thermotogati; Synergistota; Synergistia; Synergistales; Synergistaceae.
GAGCCGUUAGCUCAGUUGGCAGAGCACCGGAUUUUUAAUCCGGGUGUCCCGGGUUCGAGCCCCGGACGGCUCACCA